This 245-nucleotide ribosomal RNA is filed under the name uncultured bacterium. RNAcentral describes it as "partial 16S ribosomal RNA". It matches the Rfam family "Bacterial small subunit ribosomal RNA", at positions 15 to 257 of the family's 1533-position model. The record is from RNAcentral.
AAUCAUGGCUCAGGAUGAACGCUAGCUACAGGCUUAACACAUGCAAGUCGAGGGGCAGCAUGAACUUAGCUUGCUAAGUUUGAUGGCGACCGGCGCACGGGUGAGUAACACGUAUCCAACCUUCCGUUUACUCAGGGAUAGCCUUUCGAAAGAAAGAUUAAUACCUGAUAGUAUGGUGAGAUUGCAUGAUAACACCAUUAAAGAUUUAUUGGUAAACGAUGGGAUGCGUUCCUACUUAGGUUAGG